GCAGAUGUGGCGGAAUGGCAGACGCACUAUCUUGAGGGGGUAGCGGGCAACAGCUCGUAUGGGUUCAAGUCCCAUCAUCUGCACCA
Molecule: transfer RNA, 86 nt
Filed under: Proteiniclasticum ruminis
Lineage: Bacteria; Bacillati; Bacillota; Clostridia; Eubacteriales; Clostridiaceae
Also listed under: 4 other names
Description: tRNA_Leu_GAG
Rfam family: tRNA
About the family: Transfer RNA (tRNA) molecules are approximately 80 nucleotides in length.
Source: RNAcentral